GAUGAACGCGGCGGCGUGCCUAACACAUGCAAGUCGAACGGAGAUUACGGACGGAAGUUUUCGGAUGGAAGUUUGUAAUUCUUAGUGGCGGACGGGUGAGUAACGCGUGGGCAACCUGCCCUAUACAGGGGGAUAGCAGCUGGAAACGGCUGGUAAGACCGCAUAAGUCGGUUAAAUCGCAUGAUUUGAUCGGGAAAUGAGCAAUCAGGUAUAGGAUGGGCCCGCGUCCGAUUAGCCAGUUGGCAGGGUAAAAGCCUACCAAAGCGACGAUCCGUAGCCGGACUGAGAGGUCGGACGGCCACAUUGGGACUGAGACACGGCCCAAACUCCUACGGGAGGCAGCAGUGGGGGAUAUUGCACAAUGGAGGAAACUCUGAUGCAGCGACGCCGCGUGAGUGAAGAAGUAUUUCGGUAUGUAAAGCUCUAUCAGCAGGGAAGAUGAUGACGUACCUGACUAAUGA
This 461-nucleotide ribosomal RNA is filed under the name Catonella morbi. RNAcentral's name for it is "bacterial SSU rRNA". It matches the Rfam family "Bacterial small subunit ribosomal RNA", at positions 28 to 488 of the family's 1533-position model. Lineage: Bacteria; Bacillati; Bacillota; Clostridia; Lachnospirales; Lachnospiraceae. The record is from RNAcentral.